AUUGAACGCUGGCGGCAUGCUUUACACAUGCAAGUCGAACGGGGUGAGGGGGCAACUUCUCAUUCAGUGGCGAACGGGUGAGUAAUGCAUCGGAACGUGUCCCGUAGUGGGGGAUAACUCGGCGAAAGCCGUGCUAAUACCGCAUAUGCUCUACGGAGGAAAGUGGGGGGAUCCGCAAGGACCUCACGCUAUGGGAGCGGCCGAUGUCCGAUUAGCUUGUUGGCGGGGAAUGGCCCACCAAGGCGACGAUCGGUAGCUGGUCUGAGAGGAUGAUCAGCCACACUGGGACUGAGACACGGCCCAGACUCCUACGGGAGGCAGCAGUGGGGAAUUUUGGACAAUGGGGGGCAACCCUGAUCCAGCCAUGCCGCGUGCGGGAAGAAGGCC
This 387-nucleotide ribosomal RNA is filed under the name uncultured bacterium. RNAcentral describes it as "bacterial SSU rRNA". It matches the Rfam family "Bacterial small subunit ribosomal RNA", at positions 29 to 416 of the family's 1533-position model. The record is from RNAcentral.